Vespula vulgaris is the source of this 5218-nucleotide long non-coding RNA. RefSeq lists it as uncharacterized. The transcript has 5 exons. The record is from RefSeq and is a predicted model, not a curated record. NCBI's taxonomy places the organism in Eukaryota, Metazoa, Arthropoda, Insecta, Hymenoptera, Vespidae.
GUAGUCCCCGCGCUCUCACUGCGACAGAGUUCAGUCAGUCGGUCGGACGCUUCCACCGAGGACACGCGCGCGCAUGCAUGCAGAACGACAUAUCAACCCUUAGCGAAAACGCAUACGCAUAUAAAUACAUACGUACAUAUAUACAUACUAUAUAAAUACUAUUCUUGAAAAUCGGGGCACAUGGGCAUGGACUGACGCACGAGGGAUGCAGAAAGCACGGUGACGUUUGUACCUGGGCAAUAUGUUCCUUCCUCCAGUAGUACGCUCACGGAGGUCGCUGAAAUAGAAGAUCGUGGUUUUGCUGAUUGUUAAACUUCGAUAUACCUCGUUCAAGACUUGGAUAUCUUUUCCUGUAAAAGAAUAAAAAGAAGAAGAAGAAGAAGAAGAAGAAGAAGAAGAAGAAAAAGAAGAAAAAGAGGAGGAAGAAGAAGAAAAAGGAAAAAGAAAAAGAAAAAGAGAAACGACGAUGAAAAUGAGGAUACCUUCGAAAUUACGAGCCAACAUUCUCCUUGGCUGGAUCUUUUAUCUCUUUACGUUCCUUCUCCUUCCAUCGCGGACAAGUGCGCUCGAGGAGAACUGUACGGAUUUUCAAGGUGGAACAGUUAGACACGGACUGCUCUAUGUGCCAGGACCUGCGGUUUGUAGUUUGUGCGUCUGUUAUCAUUCGGAGCCGAUGUGGUGCCAAGCUAUAUACUGUACACCUCCAUACUUUUAGGAUUUUUCGAGGGGAAAAAAAGAAAACAAGAAAAGAGGGAAAGAAUGGAGAUAAAAUCAAAAUGAUUUUUUAAACGGAAGAAAAUUCACGAACGAUAAAAUGAUUCCGGUGUACCAAAUGGUUCUAACGCAGGGCUUUCAAAUAAAUCGAUUUAUAUCCAUGCGAAGCUCGUAUAAAACAAAAGGAUUCUUAUAUUUGCGAGAAUAUUUUUUACCUGAUAAAUCAAUUAUCGUAAUCGCUCAACUACACACAUAUAUACUAUGUUUUAUAUAUAUAUAUAUAUAUACACAUACUAUGUUAUAUAUAUAUACAUAUACACAUUUUAUUAUUCAGCUCAAUAUCAACAGAAGAGUAAAAUUUCCUUUAUUCUCUUAUAUCUGUUUGUCUAAUGCGUUAUUACGAGAUAAUAACAGAAUAUGUACGCAGGUAAUUAAAAAUGUACACAUCAUAACAGUUACUUAUUAGUUUUAAUGGAUUUCUAUUUCAUGUAAUACCUACAUGAUAUUUUCUUAUUUUUAUCUACGAUUUAUUUUUAAUAAAUUUAAGAGAUUAUUAUCGGCGAGUCAAAUUAUAAAAGAGAAAAGUAAAAUAAUAAUAAUAAUAAUAAUUACGUAUCUGUAAUUUUAUAAUAAAAAAAAAAAAAAAGGACGAAAAUAGUAAGGAUGAAUUAAAACGGAAUAUAAAAUGAAUUUUAAAUGGAAUUAAUAUUUCAGUCUUAAUCUUCUCAUGACAAAUUUAUUUCUCUUAGAAUACUUAAUAACCUUAGGAUUCUAAACGUUCGAUCGUUUCUCCAUACACCUUCCGGAGUAAUACGGAAUAGUGUUUGAAUUAGAGCAACAUGGUGUGUGUUGUGUGUUUGUGUACAUACGUACGUACGUACGUACGUACAUACAUACAUAUGUAUGUACGUAUACAGGCUUAUGAAUAUUGAUAAUAAAAUAGAAUAUUAAAAACAGACCGACGAACUCGACGAGCCGUCCUUUCGGUCACGUUCGAUAUAUUUCAUUUGAAGCAGAGUAUAGUCAGCAAUAACGAUGCGAGUUUUAUCAUAAAACGCGCGUGUGGCUCUUGCUCAUUUUUCCCUCUUCGAUCGCAACCUGGCAUGAUUUUCUACGAUAAAAAGAAAGGUAAAAAAGGAAAAAAAAAAGGAAAUACCCACUCUUGCCGAGGUCAGUAUCGAGUACCUACUAUGCAAAAUCGUUAAACCGUUUACUCUACUUACCUUUCGUUUUGCGUUUCUGUUAUUUUUUUUUAUUUAUUUUUUUCCUGUAUUUUUCUUUUCCUUUUUUCUUUGCAUUUCUCUAUUCGAUUGAACGACGCUUCGUUGUACGUAGUAAAUCAUUUAAAUAAGAGGAAAUGGUCCCUAUCGUUAAGAAAGUCAGUUUAGGAGGUAAAAUUGUAACUCUUAUUAACGCGUCACAUUCGAGCGGAAAAGUUCUGCACACCGCGAAAUGCCACAUCGUUUGUUGGAAAUUAAGUUCAGGGACAGAACGUUUCGCGGGCGUUUUUUCCUUUUCUUUUCUCUCUCUCUCUCUCUCUCUCUCUCUCUCUCUAUCUAUCUAUCUCGCUCGUUCUCGGUACUUUCUUUUUGCGUUUUUAAUCGCUCGCAAGCACGUAGGUAUAUAUGUAUAUAAAUAUAUAUCUUGGUAGAAGGAGUGUCGCGCUUCCAGUUGAGAAAAUGCAAAACUCGACAACAUCAGGUUCGUUAUGUUAGUAUAUUUACGUAUGUAUAGGUGUAGAUAUAUUUUAUAUAUAUAUAUAUAUAUAUAUAUAUAUAUAUAUAUAUAUAUAUAUAUUGUACAUGAUGAACGAUACGUAUAUAAAAAAUUGGAAAAAUACGAUUAUUAAAAUUCAUUAAAUUUAUAAAAAAUUUUAUAUUUCAAUACAACGAACAUGGUAAUGAAUAUUUUAGUAAUAUAUUUAAUUAAAAGUCAUCACGGCAUAUACAUACAUAAAUAAUAGAAUAUAUACGUAUUGCGUGACAUACGAAUAGAAAUAAAUGUGUGCAACUAUUUGCAGAAAAAAAAAAAAAAACAGAAAAAGGAAAAAAAGAGAUUUUACGUUACACGUCCUGUUCCGUGUGAUAUCGGCCUCGGAAUGUCAGAGCUCAUACAUAAAUUGCUUGUUAGCUCGUUAACGAAUAAAAUUUAAUUCGAGUUGCGUCCUCACGAAAGCUUUUCAUUAUCCUACAGGAUAAAUUUAGAGCAACAAUGAAUUUUACAGAAUGACCCACCUAUUUUUGGACUAGGUUAAUCGACGAGACAACGAUUUUAAUGUCUCGACGAUGCCAUUGGUUGAUAUAAUUCUUUUUUUUUUAUUUCUAUUUGUUUUUUCUACUUCAUUCGUUUUUAUUCUUUCGAAUCUUUAAUUUUGUUGAAGUUAGAAAAAUUUCAUGAUCCAAUUAGAACAUGAUUAUAUAUAUUUAUUUAUAUAAAUUUGUAUUACAAAUUUAUAUCAUAUAUAUUUAUUGAUAUAAAUUCGUUGAUAGGUACUUUCAUUAUAGAUAAAAUAUCGCUAAAAUAAUUAUAAUAUAUAAAUUGCGAAAUAAUAAUGAUUCGUCGAUCAAAGAUUCUUUUUUAAACGUUCCCGUUAAUGUCAAAGAAGGUAUACCUAUGUACAUGAGGUUUCUUUUAAAAUCGUUCAAAAGUGGAUUACGUACAUAUGUACGUUGUUUACAUGAAAUGCGUUACGGUAUGGCUACGUAAUCCGUAGAAUAAUAUUCUUACGAUAGGAUUACUCGACGCGAACAGAAAGUAGGUAUAAUAUGAUCAAUCUAAUCAGUUCGGUGAAGCCUAACAUUUAACUUUAUCACGAACGUCCGUGACUUUUUUCAUCGUUCGUAUAAUUAAGAUACAACAACUAAGAUGUCGAUAUUACAAAUACAAUUUAUUUCUUAAUUUCGUGUAUUUAAUCCAUAUUCUCUCUCUCUCUCUCUCUCUCUCUCUCUUUCUCAUUUAAUUUUAUAGGAUUUAAAAUUUCUACAAUCAUUCUGUAAACUUAUUUCAUCGAUGUAAUAAUCGUUAUAAUCAUAGCAAGUUCCUCUUUCUAAAUAGAAAAUAAGAUUAUUUAUGAUUUGUGCUAAUGUCGUUCCCGAGGAGGAGUUUAAGACGAUUGGUAAUCGCUUUAUUGAAUUUUCUCUUAAUGUGACAUCUUCGAGUCCUCGUAUAAUAAGAUGUUCUCAUCCAAUGUAAAUCCAUUUAACAGUCAAUGAAAAGAAAGAAAAAAGAAAAGGAAGAAAAUAGUUUUUUCUUCGACCUUCAAAGACAUUCUAAUAUCGUUUAUCAUCUUUCUUUCGUAUUGUCGUUUAAUUGAUAUUAUCACUCUUAUUGGAACGAAAUUCCAUAAAAGUGAUAUACCGUGAAUAACGAUGAUACGAGAGGUCCUCGUUAAAAUUUGAACAAAAAAAAAAUAGAAGAAAAAAAAGGGGGGAGAGAGAGAGAGAGAGAGAGAGAGAGAAAGAGAGAGAGAGAGAGGAUUGUACUUUAAUUAUUUAGUUUUUACGAAUUCGCAGAUAGACGAAUUUUUUCGUUUGUAUUCCCUCUUCUAUUUCUUUCAUAUCUCUCAACUAAUUUUAUAUAUCAAAAGCACUAAAUCUGAUAAAAAAGUACAAAGAUUAUUUUCAAACUGGCAUUAUCAAAAAAUAUUAAAUUUAUUUGUUAGAAAAUUUGUCGACUUUAUAACUACUUGAUUCUCUUUUUGUUCUAUAAUUUUCUAUCAUUUUCUUUUGUUUUGUCUGAUAUAUUUAAUCUUUUCUCUGAUUAAUGAACUUUCUAAAAGCAUGUUUUCAAAUUUAUUAUAUUUCAUGAAAACUUUUAGAUCCGUUUUUAAAAUAAAAUGAUAACGAAUAUAUGAAAAUAAUUCGUUUAAUGUUGUAGUAUAAAGGUAAAUAAAAGAAAGUAACAUGUAAAUUCCGUAGAAAUAUUUUGAUGCUUUGUGCUAAAAUAACAACAUUAAUAACGACAACAACAACAACAACAACAACAACAACAACAACAACAACAACAAUAACAACAACAAUAAUAAUGAUAAUAAUAAAAUAAUAAUAAUAACGAGGAAUAAACUCUGUGCGUUACAAUUUUCGUAUACAAUGUACGCUCUCUGUUUAUUUUAUUUCGUUAUAUAAUAUUACGAGAGUUCAUUUGAUACGUUUUCAUUUCUAUGUUCCGGAAUGACGACGGAACACUCUGAAGAUGAAAGAAUUAUUCGAUUUAAUACAGAACUCAUUUUCGUAAAAAUAAAAAGAUAACGAAAGGAGUCACUUUUAUUUCUUUUUUGAUUUGUUAAUGCAAUUUUCUAAUGUGUCGUAAAAAAGAAUUUAAGAAAAUGAAAAGAAAAAGGAAAAAAAAUAAGAAAGAAAUAAAAGAAAAAAAAAAAAAAAAGAAAAAUACUUUACGUGGAUGGAUUUCACGAGUCAAAGCAAUACGAAGAUGAAGCCAAUUAUUUACUAUUGUUCGAGAACUAAAGGAAACUAGUCGACUUUGCCACGAAGAAAGACAAGGAUGA